AAAAACGUUAGACCCCUUAAACCCUAAUUCUACGGAAGAUACAACGAAGCGGCCAUUACUGGUUAACUGCAGAAAAUGGUCGGUCCAUUGCUCCGAUCUCUCUGGUACACGUCUCUGAUACACAGCCACCAGCAAAUCCCUCUCUUUUUACUCCUCUAAUUAUCUAAAGCCUCAUUUAUUCGGAUGCGCCUUCUCCACAGCGAGCGCCACUGCCGCCGUUUCAUCCGCGGCGACUCUGGCCAGCUGAGGAACUUGGCUGUUAUAGCCCACGUCGACCAUGGAAGGACCGCCCUCAAAGAUAGGCUCCUCCGGCAGUGCGGUUCUGACAUCCCCCACAAAUAGACUCCAUCAGCCUCGAGCGCGAGCUUGGCAUCACCAUUGCUUCUUAGGUACUCAUUAAGAUACUACCUUCCUUGAAUUAUUCAUUACCUUUUUAUGUUUGCUUCCUUAUGAACUUCAUUGAAGAAGGAAAGUAAUUGGUUUAACAUCGCUCUGUUUUCCCAUGAAAUGCAUUUCACUCUGUUGUAAUUCUGAUUAUAUUCACUGCAUGCCAAAUUUCUGAAAGGGGGUGAUUUUAGCGUUGUAUGAAUUUCACGUGGGGUGUUUGAGUCAAUCAAUUGCUCUUAUAAAUUGAUGAAGUUCUAAACAAAAUACACAUAUUUCUAUUAAAUUGAUUUUUAAAAUUAAAAAAUACCAGGUGGUAGUGCCAUGAAUUGAUCCAGAAACAAGGUUAUUCCCAUGGACAGUGUGUUAAAAAUAAUAAAUAGGAGUGAGAUCAAGUGGGUAAAUUUGUUAUAAGAUAUACUAGGACAAGUAUGAAGUCCUUUGAGGUGGAAUUGCAUACAAUUUUAGAUCUUUUGGUUCCAUCUUUGUGUUUCUUUAUUUAGAUGUCUGACUUGUAUUACUGAUUUCACGCUUUCCACUACCACAAUACCAACUUUGAAGUGACAAAUGGUUCUUGAAAUAGGAAGAGAAGGAGAAGGAGAAGGAGAAUAUAGUGAGAAGAUAGAGUGAAAAAUAUGAGUUUAUUCAAUAUCAAAGUUUAACUAUUAUAUAGGGUUUAAAUUAGUCAAUUUAAGUAGGAAAGUACUGCAAAUUUUAUUAAAUCAAAGCAUAAUAAUUUUUCCUAAAAUAAGCAUCCAAUUUGGAAGUUAAACGACUCAUAGAAUCAUCAUUACGUUACCUAAAGUAAGUAUAUAAUUUGGAAAGUAAAUUAAAUAUUAUCUCUUCUAGGAUUUUCAUCAUAGGGAUUGCCAUCUCCUUUUCUAACUGGCGUCUGUUAAGUUAGCUGAAGCUUACGCUUUGAGGCCUGCCUUGUGAGGCUUUCAUUGAACGACUCAAGAUUUCCCCUUAAAUGUCAUUUUGAAUGCUCGCGUCUCAAUUCAUUGAGGCACUUCCUUGACUUAUUUUGUUUUAUACAAGGGAAGUCACCAUUAUGAGUGGAGGAUGAUGACAAAGAAUGAGGGGGAAAAUUACAAAGAUGAGGAGGACGAUAGGAGAAUGGAAAACACACUGAUGAUUCUUUUAAAGAUCCUACCAGUAACAAUGACAUAGGAGAUUUCUGGUAGUAAUGAAAAAAGUCGGUCUUACUGCUGCAACCAUUUGGUUGGUAGUAGGUCGAUGAAAGUUUAUGAGAUGUAAUUUUUUCCCGAGCAGCUAGAGGAUGUAGAUUUUUGGUCUCUUGUGACGGUGUAUUAUGGUUAAUGAAAAUAUAUUUAUAUUUCCUCUGUUGCUUAUGCUAAUUUACAUUUUAGAUGUCCGGAUGGACUAUACCACUGAUUUGUCACUUUUUAAUACCACCCUUUAAGAAGUGAAAAAUGAAAUUUGGAAAUUGUAUACACAAAUAGUUCUUGUUUUCUUGAUGCCAAUAGACUGGGUGUCUCUUCUUCUAAGUCUGCAUAUAAGGUCUCUUCUUCUAUGUCUGCACAUAAGGGCAAUGUAAGUUGUGGUGGAAUAAUAUUCGUGACUUUUGGAUUUGUACAUUCUUAUGAAGUUGACUUACAUCAUUUGUGUCUCAUGGAUUCCAUUUAUAAGUUUGAUAAAAUUUUCCCUGGCAAUGAUGAUAAAAGGCCGAACUUACGGCUGCCACCAUAUGGUUGGUAGUAGAUUGAUUAAUGUUUAGGCAAGGUAUUUUUCUGAGCCAGUGGAUGUAGAUUUUGUACAGACUAUCAUGCCAGUUAAGCAUUAUUAAUGAAAAUAUAUAAACACUAUCCUGCAUGAGGGUGGAAAUUGUAUGUAAAUAGUUCUUGAAGCGAGAGGUUGGGUAUCUCCCAUGCUAAAUUUCUCCGUAUAUAGGCAAUAUAAAUUGUUUUGCAGUAUUCAUGUCUUUUUUUAUUUGUAAGGAGCCUUUGAAGAGGUCUUGCAUAAUUUUUUGGAUCUCUUGGAUUCCAUCUUUUAUGUUUGAUAACAUUUCCCCUGGCAGACUGCUCAAUCCGAUCAACCCAACCCGAAACCGUCGGUUUGGAUUGGUUUUUUAAGUUCAGUUGGGUUAAAAAAUUAAAUUUGAGGUUCGGUUGGGUCUUGGUUUAUAAUUUAAAAUCCAACCCAAUGAAUUAAAAAAUUUAAUAUCUAAGAUGGAAAAAAAAAAUUCCUAAAUAAACACAAUAGUAAAGAUACGAGGAUAUGAGAACUUAUAAUUUAUAAACAUCCAUUUUAUUUACCUAGAUGAUUCACAUGAACACUUUGUACAAAUAAAAUGUUAUUUGACAAUAAAGUAAAAAUUAAGAACAUGAUGAUGAAAUAAAUAAAUCCCAAAAAUUUUAAAAAAGAAAAUGUUUUAUAAAUUUUAAACUUCUUUAUAAGUUAUUUUUCAGAAAGAAUUCCUUAUAUCUAUAUAAAAAAUAAAGAUUUUCAAGUAAUUUCAAACUUUAUAAAUUUAUCCAAAUUCAACAAAAAAUAAUCGGAUCAAACUUUAAUUGGGCCGAAGCCCAAAAUUGGGUUGGUUUGAUUUUAGAUUAAACCGACCAUGUUAAGUUGGGUUUGGGUUGAGAAAAAAUCGACCCAGCCUAUCCUAACCCAUGCCCAUCCCUACCUGGUAGUAAUGAUAAAAAGGUCGGAGUUACGGCUACUGCCAUUUGGUCGGUACUUGGUGGUAGAUUGAUGAAAGUUGGGUGAGGUAUUUUUUUGAGCCAGUGGAUGUAAAAGUUGCUUAGGGAUUAGAUUUUGUAUAGUAGAUCGUGCCAAUGUAGUGGAGCAGCAUUCUUGACUUUUUUUGAUUAGUGAGCAUUCUUAUGAAGUGAGUGACAUUCAUUUUUAGAUCUCUUGGAGCCUAUCUUUAUAUCGAAUAAGUUGUCUCUGUAAAAAGUCAACGCGGCAGAACAAAUAUUAGAGAGGAAGAAAUGCAACUAUUAUAUUCUCAUUUAAUUUUGGAGCAGCUGUGCAUCUAUAUAUAAAGAAGGAAAGGAAAAAUGCUAUACAUAAAGGGCAAAGAAUAUACAGGUGGCAAACCAAUUAACUAGUUCUAGAAUCUUCAGCAAAAAUAACCAACUGAGCAAUUUCAAAAAUGCCUAUGUCACGUCAGAUCUGUGAAGCUCCAAAUGCUGCUGAUUGUGCUGCUGCUGUUGAUUAAGCUCCAAGUGUUGUUGGUUGUCUUCAUGUCCCAAUACCCCCCACAAGAUGGAGAAUAUGUAUUAAUUAUUCCCAUCUUGGAGAGGUGAGAUGAGAUUGAAGGCCUGAGGGAAAUCAUAAGCAGGAAGAAGAGGGGCAGGAUUAGUUGUGCCAUUCAUUUGAAAUGGAAAAUAUCCUUUAUGGAAAACAACAUCACGAAAUAUGAAUAUUGAUUGUGUGUCAAAGUCUAGGAGUUUAUAUCCUUCCACACCAAAAGGGUAUCCAAGAAAAACACAUUUUCUUCCUAUCUCUAGAUAGAGUGGAAGCAAAACACAAUUAGCCAAAUGUUUUCAUGUGAGAGUAUGAUGGUUUCUUGUCAAAUAAUAACUCAAAAGGUGUUUUAUUUGAAAAUAAAGGUGUUGGGAUAUACAUAUACACCGCAGAUACAGUCAUUCCGGAAUUUUGCAGGGAUUUUGGCUUGGAUUUUAAGAGAAUGAGCUACGUUCAAGAGAUUAUGAUGUUUUCUUUCAACAACCCCGUUUUGUUGGGGGGAUUCGAUACAGCUUCUAUGAUGAGUAAUGCCAUUUUUAUUGAAAAAAACCUUCAUUUGAAAUUCUAGGCCAUUAUCACUUCAAAGGAUCUUAAUCUUAAAACUAAAUUGCGUUUCCACCAGAUUAUAGGAUGCUUCUAAACAAGCUCUAGUGUCAAAUUUUGCUUUAAGAGGAUAGACCCAAGUGCUUCUAGAGAAAUCGUCCACAAUGGUUAGAAAAUACUUGGAUCCAUCAUAAGCUUCUGUAGAACUUGGUUCCCAAAUGUCGAAGUGGAUGAGUUCGAGAUUUUGUUUAGUUUUAUGGGUGCUGAUAGGAAAUGGUAGUCUACGUUGCUUUGCAAGUGGACAUACACAACAAGGAACAUUGCUAGUGCCGGAUAAGUCAUUCUUAACAAUAGGAUCAGAAAUUAAAUUCAACCUUGAGAAAUGUGUAUGGCCAAGCACUGAUGCUCGAACUCGGGUUUUCGACCGGCGUACCCAUGUCGACACGACAUGACACGAGUACAGGUAUGAAAUACGGGACGGACACGGCCAAUUUCCACCGGACACGGCAAGGGAUGGAAAACUGCUGGACUUCACCGCCGCACCAUUGUUGCAGUCUUGCAGAUUCGCGUGUUGCUGGUUAGGGAAGAAGAAGGGAUUCAAUAGUUGGGCCUUUGUUUUUUAAAUUUUGGGCCUUUUUUUUAAUUUUUUGAGCCAUUGUGGUUGAAAACGGGCUGGCUGAUUUAGGGAAUAGUUGAGUUGUAGUUGGGCCUUUUUUUGGGGCCUUUUGAGCCCUUUUUUUUUUUUUUUUAUUCAUUGUGGUUGAAGUAUAUUUGCAUCAUUAAAUUGAUUAAGCAAAUUGCAUGAGCUUUA
Molecule: long non-coding RNA, 4951 nt
Filed under: Olea europaea subsp. europaea
Lineage: Eukaryota; Viridiplantae; Streptophyta; Magnoliopsida; Lamiales; Oleaceae
Rfam family: Small nucleolar RNA snoR113 (bases 2052-2144)
Source: RNAcentral